This 468-nucleotide ribosomal RNA is filed under the name uncultured bacterium. RNAcentral describes it as "partial 16S ribosomal RNA". It matches the Rfam family "Bacterial small subunit ribosomal RNA", at positions 28 to 507 of the family's 1533-position model. The record is from RNAcentral.
GACGAACGCUGGCGGCGUGCUUAACACAUGCAAGUCGAACGGAAAGGCCCUGCUCUUGUGGGGUGCUCGAGUGGCGAACGGGUGAGUAACACGUGAGUAACCUGACCUUGACUUUGGGAUAACUUCAGGAAACUGGGGCUAAUACCGGAUAGGAGCUCCUGCGGCAUGGUGGGGGUUGGAAAGUUUCGGCGGUUGGGGAUGGACUCGCGGCUCAUCAGCUUGUUGGUGGGGUAGUGGCUUACCAAGGCUUUGACGGGUAGCCGGCCUGAGAGGGUGACCGGCCACAUUGGGACUGAGAUACGGCCCAGACUCCUACGGGAGGCAGCAGUGGGGAAUAUUGCACAAUGGGCGGAAGCCUGAUGCAGCAGCGCCGCGUGCGGGAUGACGGCCUUCGGGUCGUAAACCGCUUUCGCCUGUGACGAAGCGUGAGUGACGGUAAUGGGUAAAGAAGCACCGGCUAACUACGUG